UACGAAGGGGGCUAGCGUUGUUCGGAAUUACUGGGCGUAAAGCGCGCGUAGGCGGACAUUUAAGUCAGAGGUGAAAGCCCGGGGCUCAACCCCGGAACUGCCUUUGAGACUGGAUUGCUAGAAUCACGGAGAGGUGAGUGGAAUUCCGAGUGUAGAGGUGAAAUUCGUAGAUAUUCGGAAGAACACCGGUGGCGAAGGCGGCUCACUGGCUCAUUACUGAGCUCAGGCGCGACAGCGUGGGGAUCAAACAGG
RNAcentral lists this ribosomal RNA (252 nucleotides) under uncultured bacterium. Its description in RNAcentral is "partial 16S ribosomal RNA". It matches the Rfam family "Bacterial small subunit ribosomal RNA", at positions 524 to 776 of the family's 1533-position model. The record is from RNAcentral.